UAUUGAUUUACAAUCACCCAGCUUAUGGAUCUGCAAUCACCAGCUCACUGAUUCAUAAUAACCAGCUUAUUGAUUUGCAAUCACCAGCGUAUUGAUCGAUUCGCAAUCCCCAUCCGGCCGCUCCCACCGCAGCCCCAUCCCAGCCGGGGCGGGCGCCAAGCCCGCGGCUCACCGGGCGCCGCUUGCGACACCGGGGCAGAUCCGGCCGGGCCCAUCCUGUCCCCUCCCAGCAGAGCCAGCAGCACUGUCUGUGUGUCUGUCCGUCCGUCUGUCUCGCACAGCCAUGGGCCCGGCACUCGCGGCCGUCCUGGCGCUGGCUGCGCUGCUCCCCGCGGAUGCGCUGCCCUGCGGAGCGCAGCGCCCGGACAGCGACACGGCAUCCAAGCUGCCCGGGACCUGGCUGUACGUGGCAGGGGCUGCCCAGUUCCCCCAGCACCAGGUGGAGAUGCUGCUCAUCGACCACGCCUUGCUGCGCCUGGAGCCGGGGCCCGGCGGGCAGGAGCUGCUCAUCAGCCACUUCGUGGCCGUCGGGGACCAAUGUUAUACCCACAACCUGACCUACCUGGAAGUCACUGCCGGUAACGCCUCCCUGGUGAAGAACGCCGUGACCCAGCAGACUGAGGGGAUGCUGAUGAACACAAGCUCUGAAAACCUUUUACUCAUCCAGUACCAAAUGCAGAGGGAAAGGACCUAUUUGGGGCAGUAUCUCUACGCCAGGAACCUGAGCCUGAGCACGGCAGAGCGGGAGGAAUUCGAGCAGCACGCCGAGUGCCUGGGGCUGAGGGCAGAGCAGAUCGUGUACGCGCCCUGGAAAACGGAGGUGUGUCAAGUGAAAGCAGCUGAAGGCAGCAGCAGCCCCCACCCAGAGCCCGGGGCUGCAGCCACAGCAUCCCCUGCCCCAGGCACCCCCUGGCCUGGCAGUGCAGGGAACUGACCCCACACAGGCCAAUAAACCUUUCCUUCAAAUUAAACA
Molecule: long non-coding RNA, 973 nt
Filed under: Junco hyemalis (dark-eyed junco)
Lineage: Eukaryota; Metazoa; Chordata; Aves; Passeriformes; Passerellidae
Description: lncRNA (ENSJHYG00000011914.1)
Source: RNAcentral